UUUUAAUUGUUGAUAAUUAUCUGGUUGUCUCGAUAAACGUGAAACUAGAUAUUUUGAUUCAUCCUUAUCUUGUAAUAAUUGCAGUGGGACCCGCAUACUAAUGACUGAUUAAAAAGCCCCGUUUUGAUGAUUAUCUUGAAAACCAGUACCGAUUGGACCCCGCUUUAUUAAUAUAAAGCUAUUAAAUACGUAUUUUCAUGUCAUAUACGAUCCAAAGGGGUACCAAUUAUUUGUAAAUAUAAAUAGACCUUUCUAGAGCUUAUUUUCACCGUAGAAAUCAUUUCACCAGUUUCUUCUCACGAAUACCGAGAGAAACCGAGCUGCGUUCUUCGUGUUCUUCGUAAUCAAACGAGGAUUUGGAGGUGUUAUUGGAAUCCGAUGGAGGCGUAUGAAUAGUCAAAACGAAGCUAUCGACGCAUAGAAUCUAUUACUAUCAGUGGUUUCAGUGCAGAAUCGACAGGAUUUGGACGAGACGUGUACGCUCGAAGACGUCAGGAAGUCGAAAUGGUAUUGCAAGGCGAAUAAGGGAUGAACCGAGGAAGCAAAGAUGUACGGUAGAUAGAGUAUAGCCAGAGAUGGUCUAGAGACUAUGAUAUGCAUAGAUUGUGAAAGUGGAAAGAUGAGAUUGAGAUGUGAGACUGGAGUCAGAUUUAAGAAAGGCUUAAAGAUGAGAUGAUUGAUUGAGAUUGUGAAUAAGGCUAAUGCUAGGCGAGGAGACAGAGUUGAGAAUCCAGUGGUCGAGGAGUGUUCAGGAAAGUUGAUGAGGUUGGUGCAAGCUAGAGUUGAGCUAUGGAAAUUCAGAUGUAAGUCAUAGCUGGAAUAGAUUGGCAGUGAUUCUUCUUAUCGGAGAUGAUCUGAUUUGGUAAGAGAUGUGGUGUAAUAAUUAGUGAUUCUAAUUUCAAUACUGUAACCUGGAUGCGAUCCUGUUGCUUUUAGGGGGUUGAAAUGUCUCUUUCGAAUCAUUUAUUAAAGUUUAAAUGUUCUCUUGAAAUUCUCUUAUUAUGGCUUUCAAGUUUGAAAUUCUCUUAUUAUGGCUUUCAAGUUUGAAAUUCAGGUUUUGAAAUCAUUUGAUUUGUGUUCUCUUUCAAAUCUUUUAUUAAAUGUUUUCAAGUUUUAAAUUCUUGGAUUUGAUUAUCAUAAAAAAAAAAAAAAAAAAUACAGGUUUUCAAAAGUGUUUAAAAAUGGGUUUUAUGUGGUGACGUCAGAAUCCAGGCCCCCGGAUUCUCGGACUGUCACACUACAAACUCCUAUAAUGCAACGCCGUUUGAGUUCUGUUGCAUAGAAAACCAAGGGUCUAUUGCAAUACUUUCCAUGCAACACUAGGAAUAAGCGUUGCGUAUGAGCACUUAUGGCGUAGUGCUUCGGAGGGAUACGAAGACCGACCCUUCCGAGGGACAUGAAGACUAGUGUCGGGCUCAUCUAGUAGUUAUCAGCUUCAUCCGGGCAUGAUCUAUAAUCCUCAAUCCUGUUAUCUGGCGGGUUGCCCUCGUGCGGGGGCUUGAGGUGAUCAUGAUUGUUAAAGGCCCUCCGGGGUGACAUGAAGGCCGAUCACAUGUCUGGAUCCUGUAUUCUGGUGAGAUAGCCCUCAUUGGGGGAUUGAGACGAUCGUGUAAUUUGGCUCCUCAAUGGUCUUACCUCUUAGUGAGAACCUUCACUAGGGGGUAAGGACGCGUCCCUACACCUCAAGAAAUUGGUCACGGCUCUACUAGACGUCUCUUCCAUGCUACGAAAGGUAGCGGUUAGUGUUAUCUCUCGUAGUGGAGAUAAUUCCGUAUCCGUGAUGUACUUGGACUAGGAGCCUAAGGUAGUUGGCCUCAAGGCUUAAUUCUAACUAGAGUAGAACUCUAAGUGAUAAGUCACCGGCUUAAGGUUGGUCUUAUCCCCAAGAGGCCUAGUCCUGAUCAAACUAGGAGUCUUGGUUCAAUAGAACUACGUAUGGCUUGAUCCCCUAUAAAUAUAGGGAUCAUGAGUUGAGAGCACAAGGAGGCAACUCAAAACCCUAAUCUCAGCCACCCCUUAAAACACACAACCACCACACUCCGGCAGGUAAAACCACCGUCACAGAUCUUGAUUCCGGCCAUGAACCUCAUCUUUGUUAAUUACCAAAUUCCUCCAUCAACAGUAAACAUCACAAAAUUUCCAGUUCUUUCUCUUAUUGCUAAAGAUGUGCUUGCGAUUCCUGUUUCCACGGUUGCAUCGGAAUCUGCUUUCAGUGUUGGUGGAAGAGUUCUUGACUCAUUUAGGAGUUCUUUGACUCCUAAAGUGGUAGAGGCUCUAAUUUGUGGUCAGGACUGGAUUCGAGCUGCUCCACUUCCUUCGGUAGAAGAGAAUAUUGAUGAUGUGGAAAAAUUAGAAGUGAUUUUAACAAUUUAGUUCUGGGAGCAAGUGGCAACAGAGUGGGUUUCAAUGCUAAUCAGGAAUUACGUUAAGGUUGUUGCUGAUAUGCUGAUGUCGGGGUCGUGGUUGGAUGCUAAAGUCUGCAUUUCUAUUAUUUUCGAACUAUUUGUUGAAGAAGUUUUCAAUUAAAUUGUGGCACUACUCUUUAAUUAUUCAAGUUUAUGCAUUUUUUUGGACAACAAUUUGUAAUGGAAACAAAAUGAUAAUUUCUAGUAUUAUUCAUGAAUCCUCAUUUUUUGA
Daucus carota subsp. sativus is the source of this 2637-nucleotide long non-coding RNA. RefSeq lists it as uncharacterized. The transcript is spliced from 5 exons. NCBI's taxonomy places the organism in Eukaryota, Viridiplantae, Streptophyta, Magnoliopsida, Apiales, Apiaceae. The record is from RefSeq and is a predicted model, not a curated record.